GCCUGAGUCGCAUAAUGGUAUUGCAACGGAUUGCUAAUCCGUGCCCUUCGGGGUUCGCAGGUUCGAUUCCUGCCUCAGGCG
Molecule: transfer RNA, 81 nt
Filed under: Nanobdellota archaeon
Lineage: Archaea; Nanobdellati; Nanobdellota
Also listed under: 1 other name
Description: tRNA-Ser
Rfam family: tRNA
About the family: Transfer RNA (tRNA) molecules are approximately 80 nucleotides in length.
Source: RNAcentral